Molecule: ribosomal RNA, 918 nt
Filed under: uncultured archaeon
Lineage: Archaea
Description: bacterial SSU rRNA
Rfam family: Archaeal small subunit ribosomal RNA
Source: RNAcentral
UUCCCUGGUUGAUCCUGCCGGAGGUCACUGCUAUUGGGAUUCGACUAAGCCAUGCGAGUCGUGAGGGUUCGGCCCUCGGCUGACGGCUCAGUAACACACGGAUAAUCUGCCCUUGGGUGGAGGAUAAUCUCGGGAAACUGAGAAUAAUACUCCAUAAGUCUAGGAUGCUGGAAUGCACUUAGACUAAAAACUUCGGUGCGCAAGGAUGAGUCUGCGGACUAUCAGGUUGUAGUCAGGGUAACGACCUGACUAGCCUACGACGGAUACGGGUUGUGAGAGCAAUAACCCGGAGAUGAUAUCUGAGACACGAUAUCAGGCCCUACGGGGCGCAGCAGGCGCGAAAACUUCGCAAUGUGCGAAAGCACGACGAGGGAAUCCCAAGUGCUGGCUCGUUAGAGUCAGCUGUUUUUAUGUCUAAAAAGCAUAGAGAGUAAGAGCUGGGUAAGACGGGUGCCAGCCGCCGCGGUAAUACCUGCAGCUCAAGUGGUGGCCGCUAUUAUUGGGCCUAAAACGUCCGUAGCCUGUUUAUUAAAUGCCUAGGUAAAUUGUGUGGCUUAACCAUACGAAUUCUGGGUAGACUGAUAAACUUGAGACCGGGAGAAGCUAGAGGUACUCCUGGGGUAGAGGUGAAAUUCUGUAAUCCUAGGGGGACCACCAGUGGCGAAGGCGUCUAGCUAGAACGGGUUUGACGGUGAGGGACGAAGCCCUGGGGCGCAAACGGGAUUAGAUACCCCGGUAGUCCAGGGUGUAAACGCUGCUUGCUUGAUGUUGGUUGGGCUCCGAGCCCAAUCAGUGUCGGAGAGAAGUUGUUAAGCAAGCUGCCUGGGAAGUACGGCCGCAAGACUGAAACUUAAAGGAAUUGGCGGGGGAGCACCGCAACGGGAGGAGCGUGCGGUUUAAUUGGAUUCAACGCCGGGA